CAGGCCUGAAUUGAGGCAAGGCCAGAGUCAGGACACAACUAAUAGAUGCUGGAAGUGUUGACGGAAACCACUCUUGCAGAGGAACAAUGCAGGCUGAGCUUCAGUUGCCGGCUAUGACAUCAUGACCGAGAGCAGACAGUGUAACAUGUCACACGGAUUCAACCUCUUCACUCGCUGUGCAAAUUUGAAUCGGUUCCAAACAGUCAAGCCUGCCAGAAAAAACAGACAAACUCUCAAGAACAACAAUGCCUAUUAUGUGUGGUGGAGGAGCCGCCAGAUUUUGAUUACCGGACAGACAUUAACUCCUUUGGUGUCUCAUGCAAGAAAUGCCAAGUCUGAAUCCAGAUAUUUUCCAGAAUAGCAUGAGAUCUGCAAUUUACAGUGUCUUCUGCAAAAAAAAAAAAAAGCAACUGAGAGAAGGAAAUGCAAGUUAAAGACCACAUCUCCUGGUUUCUCGAAUUCUGCCAUGACUCUUCCUGGUAAAUGGACAGACUGAGUACCUGUGCUC
Molecule: long non-coding RNA, 508 nt
Filed under: Marmota marmota marmota (Alpine marmot)
Lineage: Eukaryota; Metazoa; Chordata; Mammalia; Rodentia; Sciuridae
Description: lncRNA (ENSMMMG00000020561.1)
Source: RNAcentral